RNAcentral lists this ribosomal RNA (110 nucleotides) under Escherichia coli. Its description in RNAcentral is "partial 23S ribosomal RNA". The stretch from base 1 to 98 matches the Rfam family "Bacterial large subunit ribosomal RNA", at positions 2828 to 2925 of the family's 2925-position model. Lineage: Bacteria; Pseudomonadati; Pseudomonadota; Gammaproteobacteria; Enterobacterales; Enterobacteriaceae. The record is from RNAcentral. RNAcentral also lists the same sequence under 12 other names.
UGAAGGAACGUUGAAGACGACGACGUUGAUAGGCCGGGUGUGUAAGCGCAGCGAUGCGUUGAGCUAACCGGUACUAAUGAACCGUGAGGCUUAACCUUACAACGCCGAAG